UGUCCUGGAGUCUCGUGCACAC
RNAcentral lists this microRNA (22 nucleotides) under Gallus gallus (chicken). RNAcentral describes it as "gga-miR-6671-5p". Lineage: Eukaryota; Metazoa; Chordata; Aves; Galliformes; Phasianidae. The record is from miRBase by way of RNAcentral.